GAUGAACGCUGGCGGCGUGCCUAAUACAUGCAAGUCGAGCGAACAGACGAGGAGCUUGCUCCUCUGACGUUAGCGGCGGACGGGUGAGUAACACGUGGAUAACCUACCUAUAAGACUGGGAUAACUUCGGGAAACCGGAGCUAAUACCGGAUAAUAUAUUAAACCGCAUGGUUCAAUAGUGAAAGACGGUUUUGUUGUCACUUAUAGAUGGAUCCGCGCCGCAUUAGCUGGUUGGUAAGGUAACGGCUUACCAAGGCAACGAUGCGUAGCCGACCUGAGAGGGGGAUCGGCCACACUGGAACUGAGACACGGUCCAGACUCCUACGGGAGGCAGCAGUAGGGAAUCUUCCGCAAUGGGCGAAAGCCUGACGGAGCAACGCCGCGUGAGUGAUGAAGGUCUUCGGAUCGUAAAACUCUGUUAUUAGGGAAGAACAAAUGUGUAAGUAACUAUGCACGUCUUGACGGUACCUAAUCAGAAAGCCACGGCUAACUACGU
RNAcentral lists this ribosomal RNA (496 nucleotides) under uncultured bacterium. Its description in RNAcentral is "partial 16S ribosomal RNA". It matches the Rfam family "Bacterial small subunit ribosomal RNA", at positions 28 to 506 of the family's 1533-position model. The record is from RNAcentral.